UUGUGGUUUGCAUUUGAACUG
This 21-nucleotide microRNA is filed under the name Picea abies (Norway spruce). RNAcentral describes it as "pab-miR11576". The record is from miRBase by way of RNAcentral. Lineage: Eukaryota; Viridiplantae; Streptophyta; Pinopsida; Pinales; Pinaceae.